GACGAACGCUGGCGGCGUGCCUAAUACAUGCAAGUCGAACGGUCUUUUCUAUGGAAGCUUGCUUCCACUGAGAAGAUAGUGGCGAACGGGUGAGUAACACGUGGGUAACCUGCCCAUAAGAGGGGGAUAACAUCCGGAAACGGGUGCUAAUACCGCAUAGUUUUCUUGAUCGCAUGAUUGAGAAAGGAAAGACGGCCUUUGUGCUGUCGCUUAUGGAUGGACCCGCGGCGUAUUAGUUAGUUGGUGAGGUAACGGCUCACCAAGACGAUGAUACGUAGCCGACCUGAGAGGGUGAUCGGCCACAUUGGGACUGAGACACGGCCCAAACUCCUACGGGAGGCAGCAGUAGGGAAUCUUCCGCAAUGGACGAAAGUCUGACGGAGCAACGCCGCGUGAGUGAAGAAGGUUUUCGGAUCGUAAAACUCUGUUGUCAGAGAAGAACAAGUUGGAGAGUAACUGCUCCAGCCUUGACGGUAUCUGACCAGAAAGCCACGGCUAA
Molecule: ribosomal RNA, 499 nt
Filed under: uncultured bacterium
Lineage: Bacteria
Description: bacterial SSU rRNA
Rfam family: Bacterial small subunit ribosomal RNA
Source: RNAcentral